This 74-nucleotide small nucleolar RNA is filed under the name Choloepus hoffmanni (Hoffmann's two-fingered sloth). RNAcentral's name for it is "Small nucleolar RNA SNORD112 (ENSCHOG00000015724.1)". The record is from RNAcentral. Lineage: Eukaryota; Metazoa; Chordata; Mammalia; Pilosa; Megalonychidae.
UAGACAUAUGAUCAGAAUGUGUUAUGAACCAAAGUUUAUGACUAAUCCAGUUUAGUAAAAAUGAGAUGCCUGCA